UACAGAGGCGGCAAGCGUUGUUCGGAAUUAUUGGGCGUAAAGAGCACGUAGGCGGCCUUGCAAGUCAGUUGUGAAAGCUUUCUGCUUAACGGAAGAACAGCAGCUGAUACUGCAAGGCUAGAGUGCGGAAGGGGAGAGUGGAACUUCUGGUGGAGCGGUGAAAUGCGUAGAUAUCAGAAGGAACACCGGCGGCGAAGGCGACUCUCUGGUCCGUAACUGACGCUGAGUGUGCGAAAGCUAGGGGAGCAAACGGG
This 254-nucleotide ribosomal RNA is filed under the name uncultured bacterium. RNAcentral describes it as "partial 16S ribosomal RNA". It matches the Rfam family "Bacterial small subunit ribosomal RNA", at positions 524 to 776 of the family's 1533-position model. The record is from RNAcentral.